UAUGCACUAUUCUCUCCAGUACGAAAGGACCGAGAAAAUAAGACCUAUCCUCAAAGCAAGUCUUUUUUCCCCGAAGCAAUAUCAAACCAAAAGUACCCCUUUACCCGAAAACAGGGC
This 117-nucleotide ribosomal RNA is filed under the name Varanus eremius. Its description in RNAcentral is "partial 16S ribosomal RNA". Lineage: Eukaryota; Metazoa; Chordata; Lepidosauria; Squamata; Varanidae. The record is from RNAcentral.